RNAcentral lists this transfer RNA (60 nucleotides) under Mesocricetus auratus (golden hamster). It matches the Rfam family "tRNA". Rfam says of the family: Transfer RNA (tRNA) molecules are approximately 80 nucleotides in length. Their secondary structure includes four short double-helical elements and three loops (D, anti-codon, and T loops). Lineage: Eukaryota; Metazoa; Chordata; Mammalia; Rodentia; Cricetidae. The record is from Rfam by way of RNAcentral.
GAUUACAUAGCUCAGUUGGUAGAGUGCUUGCUUGUCAUGCAAGAAGUGCAGCUUUAUUCC